Non-coding RNA from Acanthosepion pharaonis, 113 nucleotides. Lineage: Eukaryota; Metazoa; Mollusca; Cephalopoda; Sepiida; Sepiidae. The record is from the annotation of a GenBank genome assembly.
UUACGACCAUACCACGUUGAAACACCGAUUCCCGUACAAUUACCGAAGUUAAGCAACGUCGAGUCUGGUCAGUACCUAGAUGGGUGACCACUUGGGAAUGCGAGAUAUCGUAA